This 392-nucleotide ribosomal RNA is filed under the name uncultured bacterium. RNAcentral's name for it is "partial 16S ribosomal RNA". It matches the Rfam family "Bacterial small subunit ribosomal RNA", at positions 523 to 918 of the family's 1533-position model. The record is from RNAcentral.
AUACGGAGGAUCCGAGCGUUAUCCGGAUUUAUUGGGUUUAAAGGGUGCGCAGGCGGCCAUUUAAGUCAGCGGUUAAAUCGUGGGGCUCAACCCCAUUCUGCCGUUGAUACUGGGUGGCUUGAUUGCGGUCGAGGUUGGCGGAAUUCGUCGUGUAGCGGUGAAAUGCAUAGAUAUGACGAAGAACACCGAUUGCGUAGGCAGCUGACCAGAUCGCAAAUGACGCUCAUGCACGAAAGUGCGGGGAUCGAACAGGAUUAGAUACCCUGGUAGUCCGCACAGUAAACGAUGAAUACUUGUUUUCGGCGAUAUAAUGUCGGAGGCAAAGCGAAAGCGAUAAGUAUUCCACCUGGGGAGUACGCCGGCAACGGUGAAACUCAAAGGAAUUGACGGGG